Molecule: ribosomal RNA, 1971 nt
Filed under: Escherichia coli STEC_O31
Lineage: Bacteria; Pseudomonadati; Pseudomonadota; Gammaproteobacteria; Enterobacterales; Enterobacteriaceae
Description: bacterial LSU rRNA
Rfam family: Bacterial large subunit ribosomal RNA
Source: RNAcentral
AGCGUACACGGUGGAUGCCCUGGCAGUCAGAGGCGAUGAAGGACGUGCUAAUCUGCGAUAAGCGUCGGUAAGGUGAUAUGAACCGUUAUAACCGGCGAUUUCCGAAUGGGGAAACCCAGUGUGAUUCGUCACACUAUCAUUAACUGAAUCCAUAGGUUAAUGAGGCGAACCGGGGGAACUGAAACAUCUAAGUACCCCGAGGAAAAGAAAUCAACCGAGAUUCCCCCAGUAGCGGCGAGCGAACGGGGAGCAGCCCAGAGCCUGAAUCAGUGUGUGUGUUAGUGGAAGCGUCUGGAAAGGCGCGCGAUACAGGGUGACAGCCCCGUACACAAAAAAUGCACAUGCUGUGAGCUCGAUGAGUAGGGCGGGACACGUGGUAUCCUGUCUGAAUAUGGGGGACCGAUCCUCCAAGGCUAAAUACUCCUGACUGACCGAUAGUGAACCAGUACCGUGAGGGAAAGGCGAAAAGAACCCCGGCGAGGGAGUGAAAAAGAACCUGAAACCGUGUACGUACAAGCAGUGGGAGCACGCUUAGGCGUGUGACUGCGUACCUUUUGUAUAAUGGGUCAGCGACUUAUAUUCUGUAGCAAGGUUAACCGAAUAGGGGAGCCGAAGGGAAACCGAGUCUUAACUGGGCGUUAAGUUGCAGGGUAUAGACCCGAAACCCGGUGAUCUAGCCAUGGGCAGGUUGAAGGUUGGGUAACACUAACUGGAGGACCGAACCGACUAAUGUUGAAAAAUUAGCGGAUGACUUGUGGCUGGGGGUGAAAGGCCAAUCAAACCGGGAGAUAGCUGGUUCUCCCCGAAAGCUAUUUAGGUAGCGCCUCGUGAAUUCAUCUCCGGGGGUAGAGCACUGUUUCGGCAAGGGGGUCAUCCCGACUUACCAACCCGAUGCAAACUGCGAAUACCGGAGAAUGUUAUCACGGGAGACACACGGCGGGUGCUAACGUCCGUCGUGAAGAGGGAAACAACCCAGACCGCCAGCUAAGGUCCCAAAGUCAUGGUUAAGUGGGAAACGAUGUGGGAAGGCCCAGACAGCCAGGAUGUUGGCUUAGAAGCAGCCAUCAUUUAAAGAAAGCGUAAUAGCUCACUGGUCGAGUCGGCCUGCGCGGAAGAUGUAACGGGGCUAAACCAUGCACCGAAGCUGCGGCAGCGACGCUUAUGCGUUGUUGGGUAGGGGAGCGUUCUGUAAGCCUGUGAAGGUGUACUGUGAGGUAUGCUGGAGGUAUCAGAAGUGCGAAUGCUGACAUAAGUAACGAUAAAGCGGGUGAAAAGCCCGCUCGCCGGAAGACCAAGGGUUCCUGUCCAACGUUAAUCGGGGCAGGGUGAGUCGACCCCUAAGGCGAGGCCGAAAGGCGUAGUCGAUGGGAAACAGGUUAAUAUUCCUGUACUUGGUGUUACUGCGAAGGGGGGACGGAGAAGGCUAUGUUGGCCGGGCGACGGUUGUCCCGGUUUAAGCGUGUAGGCUGGUUUUCCAGGCAAAUCCGGAAAAUCAAGGCUGAGGCGUGAUGACGAGGCACUACGGUGCUGAAGCAACAAAUGCCCUGCUUCCAGGAAAAGCCUCUAAGCAUCAGGUAACAUCAAAUCGUACCCCAAACCGACACAGGUGGUCAGGUAGAGAAUACCAAGGCGCUUGAGAGAACUCGGGUGAAGGAACUAGGCAAAAUGGUGCCGUAACUUCGGGAGAAGGCACGCUGAUAUGUAGGUGAAGUCCCUCGCGGAUGGAGCUGAAAUCAGUCGAAGAUACCAGCUGGCUGCAACUGUUUAUUAAAAACACAGCACUGUGCAAACACGAAAGUGGACGUAUACGGUGUGACGCCUGCCCGGUGCCGGAAGGUUAAUUGAUGGGGUCAGCGCAAGCGAAGCUCUUGAUCGAAGCCCCGGUAAACGGCGGCCGUAACUAUAACGGUCCUAAGGUAGCGAAAUUCCUUGUCGGGUAAGUUCCGACCUGCACGAAUGGCGUAAUGAUGG